Molecule: ribosomal RNA, 748 nt
Filed under: uncultured bacterium
Lineage: Bacteria
Description: bacterial SSU rRNA
Rfam family: Bacterial small subunit ribosomal RNA
Source: RNAcentral
GAUGAACGCUGGCGGCGUGUUUAACACAUGCAAGUCGAACGAAGCGCUUAAACGGAUUUCUUCGGAUUGAAGUUUUUGCGACUGAGUGGCGGACGGGUGAGUAACGCGUGGGUAACCUGCCUCAUACAGGGGGAUAACAGUUAGAAAUGACUGCUAAUACCGCAUAAGCGCACAGUGCUGCAUGGCACAGUGCGAAAAACUCCGGUGGUAUGAGAUGGACCCGCGUCUGAUUAGCUAGUUGGUGGGGUAACGGCCUACCAAGGCGACGAUCAGUAGCCGGCCUGAGAGGGUGAACGGCCACAUUGGGACUGAGACACGGCCCAAACUCCUACGGGAGGCAGCAGUGGGGAAUAUUGCACAAUGGGGGAAACCCUGAUGCAGCGACGCCGCGUGAGCGAAGAAGUAUUUCGGUAUGUAAAGCUCUAUCAGCAGGGAAGAAAAUGACGGUACCUGACUAAGAAGCACCGGCUAAAUACGUGCCAGCAGCCGCGGUAAUACGUAUGGUGCAAGCGUUAUCCGGAUUUACUGGGUGUAAAGGGAGCGUAGACGGUUGUGUAAGUCUGAUGUGAAAGCCCGGGGCUCAACCCCGGGACUGCAUUGGAAACUAUGUAACUAGAGUGUCGGAGAGGUAAGCGGAAUUCCUAGUGUAGCGGUGAAAUGCGUAGAUAUUAGGAGGAACACCAGUGGCGAAGGCGGCUUACUGGACGAUCACUGACGUUGAGGCUCGAAAGCGUGNGGAGCAAACAGG